RNAcentral lists this non-coding RNA (144 nucleotides) under Ditylum brightwellii. The record is from RNAcentral. Lineage: Eukaryota; Bacillariophyta; Thalassiosirophyceae; Lithodesmiales; Lithodesmiaceae.
AUAGUAUUUAUUUUUAUUUUUGCUCCUGCUCUUUUUCUUGUACUUGUUCCUUUUCCUUCUCCACUGAUUCCGGAGCUCCUAUGAAUUUCAAGCAGAAAUGACAAGCUUGAUGGUGUAUAAGAAUGAUAGGCAUAACAAAAGACA